RNAcentral lists this unclassified non-coding RNA (718 nucleotides) under Hevea brasiliensis (rubber tree). The record is from RNAcentral. Lineage: Eukaryota; Viridiplantae; Streptophyta; Magnoliopsida; Malpighiales; Euphorbiaceae.
GAAUCAUAACUUCCAUCUGUAGGACUUUUGGGGGGAAUUUUAAGAUUGGAAGUUCCCAUUGAAGCUCCAACAAACUUCGUGACAUUUGCAUGGUCAAGUUUAUGCCAAACAGCAACCUCUUGCUGAAAUGAUGCCCGGAGAGCAGCAAUUUCAGCAGCUGUGGCAAUGCCAUCCUCCCCCCAGUUCAAUAUCUUCACAGCAACGUCUUGACCAUCAUAAUUGCCUCUAUACACAGUCCCAUAAGUCCCCCGAGCAAUAACAUGCCUUAUAUCCAGUUUGCUCAAAUCAAUCUCCCACGCUUCCCUUCUUGUCUGGACUUCUCUGUCCCUUGACCAAGCACGGCUGAGGUGCUUCUCUAGUUGAAUAUCCCAGCUCUUGAAAUCAAUUUUAUCUGCUCUAAAAUACAUUUCCCUAUUGCUAAUACUACCCACAUCCUUCAACUUUGAAUUCAAGCUCUUUUUCACAGCGCCAGAAGUAGCAUCUACUUCAUGGGUAUCGCCCCGUUCGACUUCCUUGCCAUUGUUUGAUUCCAUUUUUUUUUUUUUUUAAUCUUCUAUAUAUGAACUCUCAACUUUAACUGAAGAAGAAGAAUUAAAAGUUGAGAACGGAAAAUUUAUUGACAAACAAUUUACUUCCUGAAGCUAUAAAACAAAGUAGUCAUAAAACCUGAUUAAUCUAUCAAAGCUCCAAUUCCAGAACUACAAAAAAGCAUAAAAGC